RNAcentral lists this non-coding RNA (203 nucleotides) under Coprobacillus sp. RNAcentral describes it as "T-box sequence". It matches the Rfam family "T-box leader". Rfam says of the family: Uncharged tRNA acts as the effector for transcription antitermination of genes in the T-box leader family. T-boxes are found upstream of many aminoacyl-tRNA synthetase genes and some amino acid biosynthetic genes usually in Gram-positive bacteria. The record is from RNAcentral. Lineage: Bacteria; Bacillati; Bacillota; Erysipelotrichia; Erysipelotrichales; Coprobacillaceae.
AAACAUACGUUGAUGAGGAGGAGUACAUUUUGUAUUCUUGAAGAGAGUUUCUGGUGGGUGUGAAGAAACAGAAGAAAAAAUGGAAGGUAGCCUCGGAGUAUGUUUAUUGAAAUCAUGUAGGUAAACACGUAGAACUGCGUUAAAGUUUUGAGGUAUACGAAAGUAUAUAAAUUAAGGUGGUACCACGAGCAUUCGUCCUUAUA